AGCAGCCGCGGUAAUUCCAGCUCCAAUAGCGUAUAUUAAAGUUGUUGCAGUUAAAAAGCUCGUAGUUGAACCUUAGGCCCGUGCGGGUGGUCCGUCCUCUGGGCGAGCACUGCCUCGUCGCGGGUCUCACCUUCUGGCGAGCGUGGAUGCCAUUCACUUGGUGUCGGCGGGAACCAGGACCUUUACCUUGAAAAAAUUAGAGUGCUCAAAGCGGGCUCGUACGCUUGAAUACAUUAGCAUGGAAUAAUGAAAUAGGACGACGGUUCUAUUUUGUUGGUUUCCGGGACAGUCGUAAUGAUUAAUAGGGAUAGUUGGGGGCAUUCGUAUUCAAUUGUCAGAGGUGAAAUUCUUGGAUUUAUUGAAGACGAACUACUGCGAAAGCAUUUGCCAAGGAUGUUUUCAUUAAUCAAGAACGAAAGUUGGGGGAUCGAAGACGAUCAGAUACCGUCGUAGUCUCAACCAUAAACUAUGCCGACUGGGAAUCGGGCGAUGUUAUUUUUCGUGACUCGCUCGGCGCCCC
RNAcentral lists this small RNA (520 nucleotides) under uncultured Paraglomus. RNAcentral's name for it is "SSU rRNA". It matches the Rfam family "Eukaryotic small subunit ribosomal RNA", at positions 569 to 1089 of the family's 1831-position model. Lineage: Eukaryota; Fungi; Glomeromycota; Glomeromycetes; Paraglomerales; Paraglomeraceae. The record is from RNAcentral.